This 478-nucleotide unclassified non-coding RNA is filed under the name Hevea brasiliensis (rubber tree). Lineage: Eukaryota; Viridiplantae; Streptophyta; Magnoliopsida; Malpighiales; Euphorbiaceae. The record is from RNAcentral.
AAAAAAAAAAGUCAACCAUAUGUUUUCUGUUGUAAAAUUGAUGACAGAUAUUUACAGGAAAUAUUGUUUGGAGUUAUUUGGUCCCUCCAUUAGCAGGAUUUGUAUGUACAUCACAUGAAUUAACGGUCUAUUGUCUUCUUUUGUCUAAUUAUUCUGCACCUUACUUUAAAUGGAGGUAAAUCUAUUAUCCCUUCUGGUGCUCGAUAGUUGGUCGUUCUUAUUGGUAUCCUGUGUGCUGUUGAAGGUAUUGAAUUGUUUUUCAAACCAGUUUUGCAGGAAAAGUACUUUACCUUGUAUUACAUCCCAUGCAGGAUUGCAAUACAUUUGUUGCAAGAUUCUCGUGAAUGAAGCUUAGCUCACUCCUCAAAGUUUGCUUCCAUGGGCAGGUAGCUCAUUUAACUUGCAUACAAGUGGUCAGAUAGGAACCCAUUUAGCGCUCUCAAGGGUUUUGUGAAGCAAUAUCCAGUGAAAAAAAAAA